GCCGCAGCAAAACCUGCGGCCAGGUGUAGGAACCUGCUGGUAAACUUGGCGCACGCACUAGGCGCCCCAUCACCACGGCUGGCGCCUUUUUU
This is a non-coding RNA of Pseudomonas entomophila, 92 nucleotides long. The record is from Rfam. Lineage: Bacteria; Pseudomonadati; Pseudomonadota; Gammaproteobacteria; Pseudomonadales; Pseudomonadaceae.